GACGAACGCUGGCGGCGUGCUUAACACAUGCAAGUCGAACGGAAAGGCCCUGCUUUUGUGGGGUGCUCGAGUGGCGAACGGGUGAGUAACACGUGAGUAACCUGCCCUUGACUUUGGGAUAACUUCAGGAAACUGGGGCUAAUACCGGAUAGGAGCUCCUGCUGCAUGGUGGGGGUUGGAAAGUUUCGGCGGUUGGGGAUGGACUCGCGGCUUAUCAGCUUGUUGGUGGGGUAGUGGCUUACCAAGGCUUUGACGGGUAGCCGACCUGAGAGGGUGACCGGCCACAUUGGGACUGAGGUACGGCGCAGACUCGUACGGGAGGCAGCGGUGGGAAAUAUUGCACAAUGGGCGGAAGCCUGAUGCAGCAACGCCGCGUGCGGGAUGACGGCCUUCGGGUUGUAAACCGCUUUCGCCUGUGACGAAGCGUGAGUGACGGUAAUGGGUAAAGAAGCACCGGCUAACUACGUG
RNAcentral lists this ribosomal RNA (468 nucleotides) under uncultured bacterium. RNAcentral's name for it is "partial 16S ribosomal RNA". It matches the Rfam family "Bacterial small subunit ribosomal RNA", at positions 28 to 507 of the family's 1533-position model. The record is from RNAcentral.